AACGAACGUUGGCGGCGUGGAUUAGGCAUGCAAGUCGAACGAAUCCCUUGGGGCUUGCUCUGAGGGGGAAGUGGCGAAAGGGGCAGUAAUGCGUGGGUAACCUACCCUGAGGUCGCGGAUAGCCUUUCUAACGAUUGGGUAAUACGCGGCGUUGUAACGAGACGGCAUCGCCUCGUUACUAAAGAAUUUCGCCUCGGGAGGGGCUCACGUCGUAUUAGCUUGUUGGUGGGGUAACGGCCUACCAAGGCGAAGAUGCGUAGCGGGUGUGAGAGCACGACCCGCGCCACUGGCACUGAGACACUGGCCAGACUCCUACGGGAGGCUGCAGUCGAGGAUCUUCGGCAAUGGGCGCAAGCCUGACCGAGCGACGCCGCGUGUGCGAUGAAGGCCUCGG
Molecule: ribosomal RNA, 394 nt
Filed under: uncultured bacterium
Lineage: Bacteria
Description: bacterial SSU rRNA
Rfam family: Bacterial small subunit ribosomal RNA
Source: RNAcentral